AGAAUCAACGCUGGCGGCGUGCCUAACACAUGCAAGUCGAACGCGAAAGUCCCGCAAGGGAUAAGUAGAGUGGCAAACGGGUGAGUAACACGUGGGUGACCUGCCUUCGAGCGGGGGAUAACGGUCCCGAAAGGGACGCUAAUACCGCAUGACAUCCUGCCUUUGAAGAGGCGGUGAUCAAAGCCGGGGACCGUAAGGCCUGGCACUUGAAGAGGGGCCCGCGCCUGAUUAGCUAGUUGGUGGGUAAUGGCUCACCAAGGCAACGAUCAGUA
This 272-nucleotide ribosomal RNA is filed under the name uncultured bacterium. RNAcentral describes it as "partial small subunit ribosomal RNA". It matches the Rfam family "Bacterial small subunit ribosomal RNA", at positions 26 to 285 of the family's 1533-position model. The record is from RNAcentral.